Molecule: non-coding RNA, 76 nt
Organism: Schistocerca cancellata (South American locust)
Lineage: Eukaryota; Metazoa; Arthropoda; Insecta; Orthoptera; Acrididae
Source: the annotation of a RefSeq genome assembly
GUCUGGGUAGCUCAGUUGGUAGAGCAUUUGCCCGCGAACGGCAAAAGGUCCCGAGUUCGAGUUUCGGCCCAGAACA